UGAAUACGAGACGCUAAGGCGUCGAAGUAGUGUGUGUCAUACUUCCAAGAAAAGCUUGCACUGUCAUAGAUAAAAAACGCCUGUACCAUAACCGACACAGGUGGGUAGGUAGAGUAUACUAAGGGGCGCGAGAUAACUCUCUCUAAGGAACUCGGCAAAAUAACUCCGUAACUUCGGGAGAAGGAGUGCCUUAUUCGUAAGGUUGCAAUAACAAGAUCCAAGCAACUGUUUAUCAAAAACACAGGUCUCCGCUAAGUCGUAAGACGAUGUAUGGGGGCUGACGCCUGCCCAGUGCCAGAAGGUUAAAGAAGUUGGUUAGCAAUUGCGAAGCUGAUAACUGAAGCCCUAGUGAACGGCGGCCGUAACUAUAACGGUCCUAAGGUAGCGAAAUUCCUUGUCGGGUAAGUUCCGACCCGCACGAAAGGCGUAAUGAUUUGGAUACUGUCUCGGAGAGGGGCUCGGUGAAAUAGACUUGUCUGUGAAGAUGCGGACUACCUGCACCAGGACAGAAAGACCCCAUGAAGCUUUACUGUAACUUGAAAUUGAAAUUGGACUUUAUUCGCGCAGUAUAGGUGGGAGGCGUUGAUUAUAAUCUUGUGGGAUUAUUGGAGCCAUCAGUGAGAUACCACCCUUGUAAUGUUAGAUUUCUAACUUUGAAUCAUUAUCUGGUCAAAGAACAGUUUCAGGCGGGCAGUUUGACUGGGGCGGUCGCCUCCUAAACGGUAACGGAGGCGUACAAAGGUUUCCUCUGAACGGUUAGAAAUCGUAUCUAGAGUGUAAAGGCAUAAGGAAGCUUGACUGUGAGACCUACAAGUCGAGCAGGGACGAAAGUCGGUCUUAGUGAUCUGACGGUACUGAGUGGAAAGGCCGUCACUCAACGGAUAAAGGUUACUCUAAGGAUAACAGGCUGAUCUCCCCCAAGAGUUCACAUCGACGGGGAGGUUUGGCACCUCGAUGUCGGCUCAUCGCAUCCUGGGGCGGUAGUACGUCCCAAGGGUUGGGCUGUUCGCCCAUGGAAGCGGUACGCGAGCUGGGUUCAGAACGUCGUGAGACAGUUCGGUCCAUAUCCGGUGUAGGCGUUAGAAUAUUGAGAGGAGCCUUCUUUAGUACGAGAGGACCGAGAAGGACAUACCUCUGGUGUACCAGUUAUCGUGCCAACGGUAAACGCUGGGUAGCUAUGUAUGGAGUGGAUAACCGCUGAAAGCAUCUAAGUGGGAAGCCCACCUCAAGAUAAG
Molecule: ribosomal RNA, 1235 nt
Filed under: metagenome
Description: bacterial LSU rRNA
Rfam family: Bacterial large subunit ribosomal RNA
Source: RNAcentral